RNAcentral lists this ribosomal RNA (506 nucleotides) under uncultured bacterium. RNAcentral's name for it is "partial 16S ribosomal RNA". It matches the Rfam family "Bacterial small subunit ribosomal RNA", at positions 29 to 523 of the family's 1533-position model. The record is from RNAcentral.
AGUGAACGCUGGCGGUAGGCCUAACACAUGCAAGUCGAACGGCAGCACAGGAGAGCUUGCUCUCUGGGUGGCGAGUGGCGGACGGGUGAGGAAUACAUCGGAAUCUACUUUUUCGUGGGGGAUAACGUAGGGAAACUUACGCUAAUACCGCAUACGACCUACGGGUGAAAGCAGGGGACCUUCGGGCCUUGCGCGAUUGAAUGAGCCGAUGUCGGAUUAGCUAGUUGGCGGGGUAAAGGCCCACCAAGGCGACGAUCCGUAGCUGGUCUGAGACGAUGAUCAGCCACACUGGAACUGAGACAAGGUCCAGACUCCUACGGGAGGCAGCAGUGGGGAAUAUUGGACAAUGGGCGCAAGCCUGAUCCAGCCAUACCGCGUGGGUGAAGAAGGCCUUCGGGUUGUAAAGCCCUUUUGUUGGGAAAGAAAUCCAGCUGGCUAAUACCCGGUUGGGAUGACGGUACCCAAAGAAUAAGCACCGGCUAACUUCGUGCCAGCCGCCGCGGUAA